AUGGCAGGUCGAGACGAUCGCCGCGGUCCUUGGGGACCGGGGAGGAAAGUCCGAACUCCGCAGGGCAGUGUGCCACGUAACGCGUGGGCGUUUCUGGGACGGUCGGUAGUUUCGAGGGGAUCCCCGAAAUUAUCGGCGCCCGGGGGCGACGGAAAGUGCCACAGAAAAUAUACCGCUUCGAUUCGUCGGAGUAAGGGUGAAAAGGUGCGGUAAGAGCGCACCGCCCGUUCGGUAACGAGCGGGGCAGGGCAAACCCCACACGGAGCAAGACCAAAUAGGCUUCACCUUCGAUUCCAUCGGAUAGGACGGCCCGUUCGAAGUUCCGCUGCAAGGCGGAAGGGUGAAGCGGGUAGGUCGCUGGAUCCCGUCAGCGAUGGCGGGACUAGAGGAAUGAUCGUCGCUCCGAGAAAUCGGAGAACAGAAUUCGGCUUACCGGCCUGCCACAUUU
This 448-nucleotide RNase P RNA is filed under the name Terriglobia bacterium. Its description in RNAcentral is "RNase P RNA component class A". It matches the Rfam family "Bacterial RNase P class A". From Rfam's summary of the family: Ribonuclease P (RNase P) is a ubiquitous endoribonuclease, found in archaea, bacteria and eukarya as well as chloroplasts and mitochondria. Its best characterised activity is the generation of mature 5'-ends of tRNAs by cleaving the 5'-leader elements of precursor-tRNAs. Lineage: Bacteria; Pseudomonadati; Acidobacteriota; Terriglobia. The record is from RNAcentral.